ACUCUAUGCGGUGGAUCACUCGGCUCAUGGGUCGAUGAAGAACGCAGCAAACUGUGCGUCAUCGUGUGAACUGCAGGACACAUGAACAUCGACAUUUUGAACGCAUAUCGCAGUCCAUGCUGUUAUGUACUUUAAUUAAUUUUAUAAAACUAAAUAAUUAAAAAAUGGAUAAAAUAAAAAACUUUGCAUACAAGAAUUAAUAAAAAUGUUAUAUAACGAAUUUAAUUAAAUGUUUUUAUCAUUAUAUAUAAAGAAUUUAUGGCAAGAUAAAGUUAUAUACAACCUCAACUCAUAUGGGACUACCCCCUGAAUUUAAGCAUAUUAAUUAGGGGAGGAAAAGAAACUAACAAGGAUUUUUCUUAGUAGCGGCGAGCGAAAAAGAAAACAGUUCAGCAUUAAGUCACUUUGUCUUAGUCAGCGUAAUUAACUUGGACUAAUAAUGGGAUUAGUUUUUAGCUAUUUAUAGCUAAUUAACACAAUCCCGGGGCGCUCUAUAUACUUAUGUAUAAUGUAUAUUUAUAUUAUUUAUGCCUCUAAUUGGAACGUACCUUGAGCAUAUAUGCUGUGACCCGAAAGAUGGUGAACUAUACUUGAUCAGGUUGAAGUCAGGGGAAACCCUGAUGGAAGACCGAAACAGUUCUGACGUGCAAAUCGAUUGUCAGAAUUGAGUAUAGGGGCGAAAGACCAAUCGAACCAUCUAGUAGCUGGUUCCUUCCGAAGUUUCCCUCAGGAUAGCUGGUGCAUUUUAAUAUUAUAUAAAAUAAUCUUAUCUGGUAAAGCGAAUGAUUAGAGGCCUUAGGGUCGAAACGAUCUUAACCUCUUCUCAAACUUUAAACGGGUAAGAACCUUAACUUUCUUGAUAUGAAGUUCAAGGUUAUGAUAUAAUGUGCCCAGUGGGCCACUUUUGGUAAGCAGAACUGGCGCUGUGGGAUGAACCAAACGUAAUGUUACGGUGCCCAAAUUAACAACUCAUGCAGAUACCAUGAAAGGCGUUGGUUGCUUAAAACAGCAGGACGGUGAUUAUGGAAGUCGAAAUCCGCUAAGGAGUGUGUAACAACUCACCUGCCGAAGCAACUAGCCCUUAAAAUGGAUGGCGCUUAAGUUGUAUACCUAUACAUUACCGCUAAAGUAGAUGAUUUAUAUUACUUGUGAUAUAAAUUUUGAAACUUUAGUGAGUAGGAAGGUACAAUGGUAUGCGUAGAAGUGUUUGGCGUAAGCCUGCAUGGAGCUGCCAUUGGUACAGAUCUUGGUGGUAGUAGCAAAUAAUCGAAUGAGACCUUGGAGGACUGAAGUGGAGAAGGGUUUCGUGUGAAAAGUGGUUGAUCACGAGUUAGUCGGUCCUAAGUUCAAGGCGAAAGCCGAAAAUUUUCAAGUAAAACAAAAAUGCCUAACUAUAUAAACAAAGCGAAUUAUAAUACACUUGAAUAAUUUUGAACGAAAGGGAAUACGGUUCCAAUUCCGUAACCUGUUGAGUAUCCGUUUGUUAUUAAAUAUGGGCCUCGUGUUCAUCCUGGCAACAGGAACGACCAUAAAGAAGCCGUCGAGAGAUAUCGGAAGAGUUUUCUUUUCUGUUUUAUAGCCGUACUACCAUGGAAGUCUUUCGCAGAGAGAUAUGGUAGAUGGGCUAGAAGAGCAUGACAUAUACUGUUGUGUCGAUAUAUUCUCUUCGGACCUUGAAAACUUAUGGUGGGGACACGCAAACUUCUCAACAGGCCGUACCAAUAUCCGCAGCUGGUCUCCAAGGUGAAAAGUCUCUAGUCGAUAGAAUAAUGUAGGUGAGGGAAGUCGGCAAAUUAGAUCCGUAACUUCGGGAUAAGGAUUGGCUCUGAAGAUUGAGAUAGUCGGGCUUGAUUGGGAAACAAUAACAUGGUUUAUGUGCUCGUUCUGGGUAAAUAGAGUUUCUAGCAUUUAUGUUAGUUACUUGUUCCCCGGAUAGUUUAGUUACGUAGCCAAUUGUGGAACUUUCUUGCUAAAAUUUUUAAGAAUACUAUUUGGGUUAAACCAAUUACUUCUUAUUAAUUAUAACGAUUAUCAAUUAACAAUCAAUUCAGAACUGGCACGGACUUGGGAAAUCCGACUGUCUAAUUAAAACAAAGCAUUGUGAUGGCCCUAGCGGGUGUUGACACAAUGUGAUUUCUGCCCAGUGCUCUGAAUGUCAAAGUGAAGAAAUUCAAGUAAGCACUGGUCAACGGCGGGAGUAACUAUGACUGUCUUAAGGGGAGUCAUGGGGUAUUUGAGAGCAGAGGGGGAGUAUUCUUCUGUAAUUCGUAAGUCAUAUCAUAUGAUGUGCGGAAGGGGAAUUUUACUCUGUAACUCACAAGUCUCUCCUUUACUCAAGUCGACUCAAAACCUCCUCGUGGUGGUCCCCGGUAAUGCUAAACUUGUUUAGCAGCUAAUUUGAGCGGCAAAACUUUUCCGAUGGGCUGGUUCCCCAGAGGAAAUUUAUUCAUAUUGAAACUACAAGCACAAAUAACGAGCCUCGGAUAACUUUACACAAUCUGAUGACGACCCGACCCUCCGUGGAUAUCUUCCCGGAGGACCAAUAUGAACCAAACGAAGCGGUUACUCUAUCUAGGGUUCCCUGCACAGUAUAUGACCGGUCCUUUAACAGCAAGAGAGGACUCGGUGUUCACAUGCGAUCUCGGCACCCAGACGAACUUGAUGAAGAACGUCGACGUGUCGAUAUAAAGGCAAGAUGGAGUGAUGAAGAGAAGUGGAUGAUGGCGAGAAAGGAGGUUGAGCUCACAGCAAAUGGAUGUAAACACAUAAACAACUAGCGGUGUAUUUUGCAAACCGCAGCGUCGAAGCCAUCAAAAAGCUAAGACAGAGGGGCGAUUAU
RNAcentral lists this ribosomal RNA (2839 nucleotides) under Drosophila melanogaster (fruit fly). RNAcentral's name for it is "eukaryotic LSU rRNA". The stretch from base 280 to 2371 matches the Rfam family "Eukaryotic large subunit ribosomal RNA". The record is from RNAcentral. Lineage: Eukaryota; Metazoa; Arthropoda; Insecta; Diptera; Drosophilidae.